RNAcentral lists this long non-coding RNA (1596 nucleotides) under Felis catus (domestic cat). RNAcentral describes it as "lncRNA (ENSFCAG00000053662.1)". The record is from RNAcentral. Lineage: Eukaryota; Metazoa; Chordata; Mammalia; Carnivora; Felidae.
GACACAUUAUGAGCUUUCAAGAAAUGAACUAUGUAGAUAGAAGAAUGUAUUCUACCCUCAGACCAGCUGAGUUUAAAUCCUUGCUUCACUGCUUAACUAACUGUGUCACCAUUGUUCAAUUGGUUAACCUUUCACUUACUCAGUUUGCUUUUCUGUUACAGGCACAAAAAAGGGAUAUACUUCCGGGGACUGUUGAAAAAAUUAGAAAUUACACACACACAAGUGUGCACACACACACACACACAAUGAUUGAAGCAAGGUCUGCAACAUACCUCUUGUGCCCAAUGUCACUGAACCAAGAUAAGAAAACUCCUAUGAUGAUGACUCCUUAGGCCUACAGUCUGCAGGGAUGAUUCUUCUGUACUCGGCCGGAAUGAAGGGAUGGAGUCAAAGGCAUUCAUCUCUGCUGCCCUCUUGGAUAAAAAGAAGAGACUAAUAUUCAGUAUGAUAUUCAUCUUCACCCAUGAAGGUUCUUUAAGAACACUUGCCAGCAGUGAGGAAUGGCAUCCUCUAUAUUAACUAUCUUAUAUAAAGCAUUACUUCAGGGCCAUAGUAAUCAUCAGUAAGUGAUGAUCAAAGUCUUCCAAGUGUAGUGAGGUACAACCCAUUAGAUAAAUUUUAUGGAAGAACUGCUGCUGGGUCUCUCUUCUGUAAAAUAAUCAUAUAGCUCUUUCAUUUUUUAACUAUUUUAAUUUGAGGUUCAACAAGUAUGCAACAAUAGCUGGAUAUUGUAUAUACAGACAAUUCCACAUCUCUGUUAUUUGGGAACUUAAUGUUAUAUAGAAAUUUAUAUUGUUGUUAGUCUACUUUUUUUGUCCCUUAAGGUUGUUAAGGAAAUUCUAACAGAGUUUGCAAUUCAUUUGCCACAUUAAUGACUUUAAAUUCUUUCCAAGACACCUAUGAAAAUAUAAAUAUAACUACAGAAUAUAACACCUUAACAGUAUUUUUGGUUCUCUUUUCUAUUGCUGAAUUUCACCUCAGAGUCAUGGAGUGAUGAAUUACCAAAUGACUAGAGGAAAUAAUUAGUUGAGGGACAUAGAUCUUUGCAAGUACACCAUUUUUCACUUUCUCCUCAGACACUCAACUCCUUUAUUCUUAACUCGCCAAUCAAAUAUCAGUUAUAUACAUUAUAUUAUCAGAUCACACACUUAACCCUUAUUCUCCUUGCCUUGAGACUGUAUGUUACGAUCCCCUCUCCUUUAAACCUACUCAGAUCAUCCCCUGAUCUCCUAGAUCACAGCUUCAACCAUGGCCAUUUUUCUUUUUCCACUCCCCCAACUUUGCUUUACCUAGGCGUAUAUAAUUUGUCAUGUCCUGUAUUGUUCCAGGGGAAAAAACAAAGUUAUAUUUCCUAUAUAAGAAUUAAUUUUUAGGGGCGCCUGGGUGGCUCAGUCAGUUAAGUGUCCAACUUCAGCUCACAUCAUGAUCUCACAGUCUGUGAAUUUGAGCCCCGCAUCAGGCUCUUUGCUGACAGCUCAGAGCCUGGAGCCUGCUUUGGAUUCUGUGUCUCCCUGUCUCUCUGCCCCUCCCCUGCUCAUGCUCGUCUUUCUUUGUCUCAAAAAUAAAUAAAAACAUUUAAAAAAAUAAAAAAAAUGA